GCGGAGGAGCAUGUGGUUUAAUUCGAUGAUACGCGAGGAACCUUACCUGGGCUCGAACGUAAGAUGACUGUAGGUGAAAGCUUACAUCUCUCGGAGCAUUUUACGAGGUGCUGCAUGGUUGUCGUCAGCUCGUGCCGUGAGGUGUCGGGUUAAGUCCCAUAACGAGCGCAACCCUACCUUUAGUUGCCAUCAGGUAAUGCUGGGGACUCUAAAGGAACUGCCUACGCAAGUAGUGAGGAAGGCGGGGAUGACGUCAAAUCAGCACGGCCCUUACGUCCAGGGCUACACACGUGCUACAAUGGCCGAUACAGAGGGCAGCUACCUGGUGACAGGAUGCAAAUCUCCAAAGUCGGUCUCAGUUCGGAUCGGAGUCUGCAACCCGACUCCGUGAAGUUGGAUUCGCUAGUAAUCGCGCAUCAGCCAUGGCGCGGUGAAUACGUUCCCGGGCCUU
RNAcentral lists this ribosomal RNA (451 nucleotides) under uncultured Sphingobacteriales bacterium. RNAcentral's name for it is "bacterial SSU rRNA". It matches the Rfam family "Bacterial small subunit ribosomal RNA", at positions 929 to 1382 of the family's 1533-position model. Lineage: Bacteria; Pseudomonadati; Bacteroidota; Sphingobacteriia; Sphingobacteriales. The record is from RNAcentral.